Molecule: ribosomal RNA, 375 nt
Filed under: uncultured Glomeromycotina
Lineage: Eukaryota; Fungi; Glomeromycota
Description: LSU rRNA
Source: RNAcentral
UUGAAAGGGAAACGAUUGAAGUCAGUCGUACCGACGAGAAAUCAGCUCUUUGAGUGUGGACUUGUGGGCGUGCGUGAGCUUUACGGUCUCGCUGUUUGCAAUGUUUGUUCUUUUUGGGCGUACUUUUUCGUAUGGUAGGCCAACAUCAGUUUCGAAUACCAUAAAAUGACCGGCGGAAUGUAGCUUCGAUCUCGUAUUGAAGUGUUAUAGCCUCUGGUAGAUGUGGUGUUUGGGACUGAGGAUUGCAACGAAUAUCCUUUGGGCUAUCCGUCUGAUCUCUGAAAGUUGCUUAGGUGCCGAAAGCGUGCUUACGGUUAUUUAAGUUGACGGUCAAAAGGUUAGAACGUGAUUACAUUCGUUAAGGAUGUUGACGUA